RNAcentral lists this antisense RNA (75 nucleotides) under Streptomyces zhaozhouensis. RNAcentral's name for it is "ASpks TB sRNA". It matches the Rfam family "ASpks TB sRNA". Lineage: Bacteria; Bacillati; Actinomycetota; Actinomycetes; Kitasatosporales; Streptomycetaceae. The record is from Rfam by way of RNAcentral.
CUUCACCGACCCCAGCCACAACGGCUCGUCCCCUGGCCUCUCCCGCCCAUAGGUCGCCAGCAACGCCUGCGCCUC